Molecule: small nucleolar RNA, 139 nt
Filed under: Leersia perrieri
Lineage: Eukaryota; Viridiplantae; Streptophyta; Magnoliopsida; Poales; Poaceae
Description: Small nucleolar RNA Z247
Rfam family: Small nucleolar RNA Z247
About the family: Z247 is a member of the C/D class of snoRNA which contain the C (UGAUGA) and D (CUGA) box motifs. Most of the members of the box C/D family function in directing site-specific 2'-O-methylation of substrate RNAs.
Source: Rfam by way of RNAcentral
UCUCUAGAUGAGGAAGAUUUUAUUGCUUACAUUGUAAACGGCCUAGAUGGCAACUAUGAUCCGUUUGUUUCAUCUCUUGGGAUGCGGGUAGAACCCAUCUCAAUAACCGAGCUAUAUGCCCAGCUGUUGAGUUUUGAAA